Long non-coding RNA from Cyanistes caeruleus (blue tit), 1037 nucleotides. RefSeq lists it as uncharacterized. The record is from RefSeq and is a predicted model, not a curated record. Lineage: Eukaryota; Metazoa; Chordata; Aves; Passeriformes; Paridae.
UCAAACUCAUCCCAGUGAUUGUAAAUUGGCCGGGGAGGAGGGGAAUGGGGGGAGGCAGAUGCUUAUCUCAUUCAUUUCUAGAUUUCAGCCAGCCUUUCGGAAAUAAACACCACCUAGAGACUGAGCCAGAGACAUUUGGUUAUCUGCAGCUUGACUGAAUGGGAAACACAAGAGAUGCUGAAGUAUCACCUGGCCUAAGCACAGACAAUGCAGCAUGUUUAUCUCUGCUGCUCCCAUGGAGUGUGAGAUGGAGACCACAAACUAAAACACAGCUGAAAUCAAAAGCUCUCUGUUUUCCUUCCAGAUAACUCCAGUACUACCUCUCUCCCCUCUGUUCUCUGUGCCUUGCCAGCAUGCUCCUGCCCGAAGCCCAAAUAGAUUAAGGCAACAAAUCCCAAGUGCAGCCAGUUCUUCAGAAAGGCUGCUGCUAGGGCAGGAGUUAAAAAGGAGAAUCUUCCACACCUCACAAUUGCAGCCAUCUCGAGUUUUAAUCGGCCCCCAUCUCGGCAAAAAGCAGUAAAUGAAAUCUAUCUUUACCAUAUUAUACACCACCAAUGAGCAAGAACUGAGCAGCUUUUCUUCACGGCUCCAACCACCCCAAGCCACAAGUAGGCCUUUCAUAGUUCCUAAUCCCGGCCCCCAAGUUUUGUGCGGUUCUCACAUAAUACCUUACAGCCCGGAGCAAGGCCCUUAGUUUAUAACACCCCUUUCAGAGACGUGUCAUUUCUAACAUCAAGCUAAUCUAUAUGUUGCCAUGGCAUCACCCUUUAUCUGCCUUUACAUCUUAUGAACUGCAUGGAUUUACCACAUUAUUUUUAUCUGAAAGACAGAAAAUGGUGGUUUUAUUGCCAUACAAUCAGAUUACUGCUGCUAGUUUCUCUAUGCCUUUUUACCAUACUUCAAUCAAAAGGGAUCAGUUUCUUUAUACUCUGCCCUUGAUUUACAUUACAUCUGUAAAGACCUAGUCUGGGUUGUAAUCCCCUUAUUAACUAUGACCAGGGUUGAUUUGCCUAAAAAUAAAAGCAAAUUGUGUCAGA